CGAACCCUCAAGCACGGCUUGUGUGUUGGGCCGCCGUCCCCUCGUUUGGAGGGGACGGGCCUGAAAGGCAGCGGCGGCGUCGCGUCCGGUCCUCGAGCGUAUGGGGCUCUGUCACGCGCUCAAGGAGGGGUCCGGCCGGGGCCAUAGCCUCUGAAGGUCAAUUCUUCCAA
RNAcentral lists this unclassified non-coding RNA (170 nucleotides) under Thermomyces lanuginosus. RNAcentral describes it as "partial internal transcribed spacer 2". RNAcentral also lists the same sequence under 1 other name. The record is from RNAcentral. Lineage: Eukaryota; Fungi; Ascomycota; Eurotiomycetes; Eurotiales; Trichocomaceae.